CCCCGGUCUGGGUCCCCUGAGUGCACCAGCGGGCAGGUUUUUCUUCACAGUGUUCCUUGUGGGUUACUCAACCCUUCUACCAUUUCGUUUUCCCUUAAAGCUGCAUUCCAGUUUAUUUAUUUUCAUCAGUUAGUGCAGAUAGCUUGCUUUGUUUAUCUACUGUCACUUAAAGGUAUAUUCCCCUAUUAUUGCCACCAUGCAGGAUAAGGAGGAUGGGCCUGUGGGCACCCCUGGUGACUUUAAUAUAGAUAACCCUGAGGGUGCUAUGGCCUCCCAGGAAUUUCAGGCCCUGCUGGAUGCCACUAUGGCUUCGUCCUUACAAAAAGCUUUUGCUUCUGCAAUGGGUGCUGUUUCUUCCUCCUUCUCUCAGUCACUGCAUUCUAUGCUUAU
This is a non-coding RNA of Pelobates cultripes (western spadefoot toad), 390 nucleotides long. Lineage: Eukaryota; Metazoa; Chordata; Amphibia; Anura; Pelobatidae. The record is from the annotation of a GenBank genome assembly.